CCCUUAGAUGUUCUGGGCCGCACGCGUGCUACACUGAGUGGAUCAGCGGGUCAGGUUGCGCGAAAGCGUUUCCUAAUCUUUAAGUCCGCUCGUGAUGGGGAUUGACGGUUGCAAUUUUCUGUCAUGAACGAGGAAUACCUUGUAAGCGCGGGUCAUCAUCCCGCGCUGAAUACGUCCCUGCCCUUUGUACACACCGCCCGUCGCUCCUACCGAUUGAGUGGUCCGGUGAGGCUUUGGGAUCUGAGCGGAAAGAGCGUUUCGCUGUUUCUGCUCGGAAAACUCAGUCGAACCUUAUCAUUUAGAGGAAGGAGAAGUCGUAACA
RNAcentral lists this ribosomal RNA (322 nucleotides) under uncultured eukaryote. RNAcentral's name for it is "partial 18S ribosomal RNA". It matches the Rfam family "Eukaryotic small subunit ribosomal RNA", at positions 1470 to 1796 of the family's 1831-position model. The record is from RNAcentral.